RNA transcript from Helianthus annuus (common sunflower), 1391 nucleotides. It is a transcript of the gene named arogenate dehydratase/prephenate dehydratase 2, chloroplastic, with no coding region annotated. The transcript is spliced from 12 exons. The record is from RefSeq and is a predicted model, not a curated record. Lineage: Eukaryota; Viridiplantae; Streptophyta; Magnoliopsida; Asterales; Asteraceae.
AGAAAAAUUGGUGAUGUUGAAGGAAAGAUGAGCCUGUGCGUUUAGUCAUUGAGGUGCUUCAGCUGCAAUGGCGACCAUGGUAUCCCGAGCCCCAAUAAACCCUACGCAUAAGCCCAUCACCACCACCACCACCUCCUCCAUUUGGGAUCAAUCGAAAGCAAAAUCCCCCCUCCUCCUCUUCCACCGACGCCAAUUUCGUAUAUCAGCAUCUUCUUCUUCUUCCAUUCAAGGAGGCACCAGCGAAGGCAAAACCACUUCUCUUCCAAGGCCUUUGACCUCCACCGAUUUGACUGGAUUGCCAUCUGAAGGCUCUCGAAUUCGUGUUGCUUACCAGGGAGUUCCAGGGGCCUACAGUGAAUCUGCUGCCGAGAAGGCUUACCCUAACUGUGAAGCAGUCCCUUGUGAACAGUUUGAAACUGCAUUUGAGGCUGUUGAGCGGUGGCUAGUGGACCGAGCGGUUUUACCUAUUGAGAAUUCUUUAGGAGGAAGCAUUCAUAGGAAUUACGACCUGUUACUUCGACACAGAUUGCAUAUUGUUGGGGAAGUCAAACUUGCUAUUCGUCAUUGCUUGCUAGCUAAUCAUGGUGUCAAAAUAGAACAUCUGAAAAGGGUUCUUAGCCAUCCACAGGCUCUUGCUCAAUGUGAGAACACUUUAACAAGACUUGGAAUAGUCAGAGAAGCCGUGGAUGAUACUGCUGGUGCUGCAAAGCAUGUUGCUCUCCAUCAACUUGAUGAUACUGGAGCAGUUGCUAGUGCUGCUGCUGCUAAGAUUUAUGGAUUAAAUUUGCUUCAACAAGAUAUCCAGGAUUAUUCAGAUAAUGUGACUCGAUUCUUAAUGCUGGCAAGGGAACCCAUAAUUCCACGUACAGACAGACCAUUCAAGACAAGUAUUGUGUUCUCACUGGAUGAGGGUCCUGGGAUGCUUUUCAAGGCACUUGCAGUGUUUGCUAUGAGACAAAUAAAUCUAACCAAGUGCAGAUUGAAAGCCGCCCUCUGCAAAGGCAGGCUUUACCUGCACAUAAUGAAAGUACCAAUGGGACCCCUGGGUCUUUUCCUUACCUUUUCUAUGUUGACUUCCAAGCAUCUAUGGCAGACCAAAGGGCCCAAAAUGCUCUUUCCCAUCUUAAGGAGUUUGCUACUUUCUUGAGUGUGCUAGGCAGUUACCCUGAGGAUGUCACCAUAUGAAUCAAUCAAAUCCAGCUCAGUUGUGCUUGGGGCCUCUGGAAUUGGUACCAAACAUCGUUUUUAUCAUUACCGUCCUUCCAAUCGGUAGUGUUUCGACUUGAAGUAAUAGAGCUUUUUUGUUUUUUCUUACAUCAAUAGAGACCUCACACUGGAAAGUGGGUGUUUCCUGUUGCAUUUAUUAAUUGGAUUUGGUAUUUGUUUAUCUA